UGAAACUGCGAAUGGCUCAUUAAAACAGUUAUGAUUUAUUUGAUAAUCGAAAGUUACAUGGAUAACCGUGACAAAUUACAGCUAAUACAUGCACAAAGACCUGGUCCAAGGGUCGUAAUUAUUAGUACUAAACCAAUUCCGCAAGGAAUGUGAUGAAUCAUAGUAAUCGAACGAAUCGCAGGUACAUGCGAUAAAUCAUUCAAGUUUCUGCCCUAUCAGCUUUGGAUGGUAGUGUAUUGGACUACCAUGGCAGUCACGGGUAACGGAGAAUUAGGGUUCGAUUCCGGAGAGGGAGCCUGAGAAACGGCUACCACAUCUACGGAAGGCAGCAGGCGCGAAAAUUGCCCAAUCCUGAUUCAGGGAAGCAGUGACAAGAAAUAACAACUCUCAACAUUGUUGAGAAGUGUAAUGAGGAUAAUUUACAAACCUUACCGAAAGCAAUUGGAGGGCAAGUCUGGUGCCAGCAGCCGCGGUAAUUCCAGCUCCAAAAGCGUAUAUUAAAGUUGUUGCAGUUAAAAAGCUCGUAGUUGAAGUUCUGGCUGUAUUGGGCCUCUGCACUUGAUGCGAAGGAACCAGCAGUCAUCCGCUUGCAAAUACAUGUUCUUCCUUAACCGGUAGACUGUAUAAGUAAGCAAUUUACCUUGAGAAAAACAGAGUGUUCCAGGCAGGUUUGUCCGGAAUG
This 682-nucleotide ribosomal RNA is filed under the name uncultured eukaryote. Its description in RNAcentral is "SSU rRNA". It matches the Rfam family "Eukaryotic small subunit ribosomal RNA", at positions 82 to 797 of the family's 1831-position model. The record is from RNAcentral.